AAAAAAAAAAACAAAUGCUCCUGUAAUCAUCUCCAGAAUGACCAGCACAAGAAGAGAACUCAGGGUAAGUGUUGAAGUUUUGUGGUUCUUUACAAUGACAAAGUACAACACAAUGAGAGCCAGACACUGUGUAUUCUGUACACUUAUCUUACGACGCAUCAACUUUUGCAUGAUUGAAGACCUUGAAAACACCCGCACUUUCAAGUUAACCUCACAUAAUCUUUAGCUCCAUUCUGAAAAAUAAAGGAAAUUUGUAUCUCUACUCUGUAAUUAAGUACAACCAAACGACAAAAACUGGCAUAUCUCUUUUGCUAUUAAAUCUCCCUUUUCGGGUUUUGUCUCCCAAAAGAACAGAGCAAAUCAAAUGAUGGGAACUUUUAAAUAUAUGCUGUACAAACUCUCUCUAUUUUACUUGUAGUGAAAC
This 424-nucleotide long non-coding RNA is filed under the name Eutrema salsugineum. RNAcentral describes it as "long non-coding RNA (ESAL_LNC000054)". The record is from RNAcentral. Lineage: Eukaryota; Viridiplantae; Streptophyta; Magnoliopsida; Brassicales; Brassicaceae.